AGGCCGGGCCACCCGCCCGGAAAAGGCUCUGGUUGGGUGAGGAGCAGUCCCGUAGGAGGGCACGCCGGGCCAGAGCCCCGCUCCGGCCCUACCUUCCCUGCAGAGGUUCCUCGCAGAUCCCCGGGGACGGUGCCCGCCCUUUCUACGCACCCACUGGGCGCAAGGGUCAGAGACCCACCCGCUUCCCAGCCCCGGCCACGCAUUCUCAAGAGGCAGCCGCGGGGACGGGCCAAGCGGGCAGACCCUUAUCCCGGCUGCUUUGCGCUGACUGCGAGAGCAGGUAAAUCGCGGGCGACUUCCCAGCGUUCUGUCCCUCUAAGGGAUCCGCUAAAGUGCCUGUGUGUAACGAGAAGGCAAGGAUCAGCCACGGAGCUCGAGGAGGACUCAGCCUUUUCAAGUGUGUGGAACCUAAAAGGUUGGAACAACUAGAAACAGCGUCCAGAGGCGGAAGCCGAAGAACGGGAAUUCCCUCCUGACACUGGCUGUCUUUUGCCAUUUGAACCUUUCACUUACUCAGCAUCUCACCCAGACCCCCCAAUAAGUGACUUUUUUUUUUAAAGAUUUUAUUUAUUCAUUUGACAGAGAUCACAAGUAGGCGGAGAGGCAGGCAGAGAGAGAGGAGGAAGCAGGCUCCCUGCCGAGCAGAGAGCCCGAUCCGGGCUCGAUCCCAGGAUCCUGGGAUCAUGACCUGAGCUGAAGGCAGAGGCUUUAACCCACUGAGCCACCCAGGCGCCCCCAAUAAGUGACUUUUUUAUGGACAGUUGAUGUUAGUUAAGCUUUGGUGAGCCUGGAACAGGAGACUAAACCGAAGUCCUCUCGCACCUAAGCCCACUAGAGGGCAGGGCUACACCUGCUGAGUUCGACGCGCCCGCCACAAAGAACUGUAAAGACCGCAGGAGUCCUCCCUUGUGUGCUAGAGGUAUUUUUCUCCAUCAACACCUACUCUCAUUAAAAAGCUUGCCCUCUAUCUCAGGUUCUGUAACACUUCCGGAUAUGUUCUCUGACCACUGGUUCAACGUCAAAAUAAACAAAUGCACUGGG
Mustela lutreola (European mink) is the source of this 1041-nucleotide long non-coding RNA. RefSeq lists it as uncharacterized. The record is from RefSeq and is a predicted model, not a curated record. The transcript is spliced from 2 exons. Lineage: Eukaryota; Metazoa; Chordata; Mammalia; Carnivora; Mustelidae.